RNAcentral lists this ribosomal RNA (407 nucleotides) under uncultured bacterium. Its description in RNAcentral is "partial 16S ribosomal RNA". It matches the Rfam family "Bacterial small subunit ribosomal RNA", at positions 28 to 526 of the family's 1533-position model. The record is from RNAcentral.
GACGAACGCUGGCGGCGUGCCUAAUACAUGCAAGUAGAACGCAGUCGCGAAUGGGUGAGUAACGCGUAGGUAACUGCCUCAUAGCGGGGGAUAACUAUUGGAAAAGAUAGCUAAUACAGCAUACUGUGAGAUGGACCAGCGUUGUAUUAGCUAGUUGGUGCGGUAAAGGCUCACCAAGGCGACGAUCCAUAGCCGACCUGAGAGGGUGAUCGUCCACACUGGGACUGAGGCACGGCCCAGACUCCUACGGGAGGCAGCAGUAGGGAAUCUUCGGCAAUGGCCGGAAGUCUGACCGAGCAACGCCGCGUGAGUGAAUAAGGUUGUCGGAUCGUAAAGCUCUGUUGUUAGAGAAGCGGUAACUACCCAGAAAGGGACGGCUAACUACGUGCCAGCAGCCGCGGUAAUAC